Molecule: ribosomal RNA, 253 nt
Filed under: uncultured bacterium
Lineage: Bacteria
Description: partial 16S ribosomal RNA
Rfam family: Bacterial small subunit ribosomal RNA
Source: RNAcentral
UACGAAGGGGGCUAGCGUUGCUCGGAAUCACUGGGCGUAAAGGGUGCGUAGGCGGGUCUUUAAGUCAGGGGUGAAAUCCUGGAGCUCAACUCCAGAACUGCCUUUGAUACUGAGGAUCUUGAGUUCGGGAGAGGUGAGUGGAACUGCGAGUGUAGAGGUGAAAUUCGUAGAUAUUCGCAAGAACACCAGUGUCGAAGGCGGCUCACUGGCCCGAUACUGACGCUGAGGCACGAAAGCGUGGGGAGCAAACAGG